GGUCAAGUUAUUAAGGGUGCAGGGCGGAUGCCUUGGCACUAGGAGCCGAUGAAGGACGUGAUAAGCUGCGAUAAGCUUCGGGGAGUUGCACGUAAACUUUGAUCCGAAGAUUUCCGAAUGAGGAAACUCACUUAGAGUAAUGUCUAAGUAUCAUUAAGUGAAUACAUAGCUUAAUGAGGGGAACUCAGGGAACUGAAACAUCUAAGUACCUGAAGGAAGAGAAAGAAAUUCGAUUCCGUAAGUAGCGGCGAGCGAACGCGGAUUAGCCCAAACCAAUAAAGUUUUCUUUAUUGGGGUUGCGGACAUAUCAUAACGAAGAGGUAUCGUAAUUGAAGAGGUUUGGAAAGACCCACCACAGAAGGUAAUAGUCCUGUAUGUUAAACGAGAAGACUUUAGAUAUGAUCCAGAGUACCACGGGACACGUGAAACCCUGUGGGAAGCAGGAGGGACCACCCUCCAAGGCUAAAUACUACCUAGUGACCGAUAGCGUAUAGUACCGUGAGGGAAAGGUGAAAAGAACCCCGGGAGGGGAGUGAAAUAGAACCUGAAACCCUGCACUUACAAGCUGUGGAAGCACAUUUCUUGUGUGACCGCGUACUUUUUGUAGAACGGGCCAACGAGUUACGUUAAGUAGCAAGGUUAAGCACUUAAGGUGUGG
RNAcentral lists this ribosomal RNA (658 nucleotides) under Clostridioides sp. ZZV14-6345. RNAcentral describes it as "partial 23S ribosomal RNA". It matches the Rfam family "Bacterial large subunit ribosomal RNA", at positions 1 to 663 of the family's 2925-position model. The record is from RNAcentral. Lineage: Bacteria; Bacillati; Bacillota; Clostridia; Peptostreptococcales; Peptostreptococcaceae.